This 393-nucleotide ribosomal RNA is filed under the name Anthopleura kurogane. RNAcentral describes it as "partial 16S ribosomal RNA". It matches the Rfam family "Bacterial large subunit ribosomal RNA", at positions 1985 to 2427 of the family's 2925-position model. The record is from RNAcentral. Lineage: Eukaryota; Metazoa; Cnidaria; Anthozoa; Actiniaria; Actiniidae. RNAcentral also lists the same sequence under 3 other names.
GGCCGGUAUGAAUGGCGUCACGAAGGCCCCACUGUCUUAAGAGGACUCUCCAUGAAAUUGAAUUCGUAGUGAAGAUGCUACGUCCAUAUUGUAAGACGAAAAGACCCCAUUGAGCUUUACUAAAGACUUGCAUGGCUCAAAAUAAUUUGACUUAAAUAAAGAGUUUAGAUAAUGUGGGACCCGUUUUCGGUUAAUGAAACACCACUCUUUUAUUUUAAGAGAGCUAACAUUACAGGGAUAGUGUAAGUUGGAUAGUUUGGUUGGGGCGACCACCUUUUAAAAGGUAACGAAGGUGAGCUUAAGGUCCGUAGUUAAUAGCCGGUGGCCUGACUGCAAGGGGGACGUCUCGAGCAGACACGUCCUUAGGGAUGUGGACUAUAGUGACCCGUCAUC